This is a long non-coding RNA of Myotis myotis, 3466 nucleotides long. RefSeq lists it as uncharacterized. The record is from RefSeq and is a predicted model, not a curated record. Lineage: Eukaryota; Metazoa; Chordata; Mammalia; Chiroptera; Vespertilionidae. The transcript has 4 exons.
CAGAACCUCCGUCACCACUGAGGACGCGGCCCAGCUCAGUCACCUGGCCAGGGAGGCCCCGGACCCCGCCCCGGGGCUUCCCACGGAUUCACCGCCGGCUUCCCUGCCGCCCCGCCCACCGCCCCACGCGAGGCUCUGCACAGCCACAGGCGAACAGCACAGCCCCGCACACACAGCCCUGCCGCCGGCACCGAGGGCGCUCAGCAACCACCCGGCAAACCUGCGAAACCAGGACGCGUCUACAAGCGGCAGGGGACCCAGCGCCAACGCCACGCCCGUUCCUCGAGGACGAGACCCAGGAGAGGAGCCGAGGGAAUUAAUACCGAGGGCGGGUCGUGGGCCAGAAGCCGGUGAGCUCCCCGUUUCCGGAUAAGCUCGUCCAGGGAGAUGUCCGCCAUCUUGCACCACGGAGCAGCUCGGAUUCCCUCACUCCUCGAGACCGCCCCUUCAGCCGCUACUGAGGAGCUGUUUCCGGCGUUUCCUUGACGAAUUCUCGCGACAGUUCAAAGUAGGCAGAACCGGAAGGGCCGGAGCGCUCCCCGUGAGCCUUAGCGGCGCUAGCCGCUUAUCUGCAUACGAAGUGUGAGGUGGGGAAACUGAGACCAGGAGAGGGGAGACCAGACGCAAUUCAUGCCCUUCUUCCCUGCUCCAGGAGACAGCUUCCAGCGGGCUCAGGCAGAUGUGCGUUCAGACCCUGACCCUCAGGCCCGUUUUCUCACCCUCCAGAUGGAGGCAGGAAUGAGACGACCGACUGUGUAUCCAGUGCUCAGCAGAGCCCAGCAUACAGUGGGUGUGAAGGGCCAUGGGGGCCUGGGGUUCCCAGGUCAGUCCCUCUCCUGACCACUGGAGACAGAAUAGAAGGCUGGAAAAGCCUCGCUAAAGCCCUGGACACCAACGGAAACAGCUCUGGAAGCCAAGGGCAAGCGCAGGAGACCAAGGGCCUGGCUGGAUGGACACUCACGGCACCGCUCUACGGGGUCCCGUGCCAGGGGCCACAGUCCCAGCUUGCCUUGGUGAUGGGGUGCUGAGCAAUGGAGCAUUCUCUAUCGUAUGGGCACUGACCACAUCCCCUUUUCCCUUCGGCUGCUGGGAAGCUCAGGAGCUGCAGCAAGUGUGCAUCCCAGUCCAUGGUUUCGUACAAACCUCGUUCCUGAUUCUAUGGCACGCCCUGCCCUUGUCUUCCUCACCCGCUCUCUGUUUGUACCCCUCUGACUCACGCUGGGAGUCUUCUUAAGCUGCCUAACAGCCUUCUGGAAUGAGUCAGGGCACAGACACGUGACAUUUUUAUAGCUGGGAACGUAUCUGAAAGGACCUCGUAAAAAACCGCAGGGAACGGAACUGUAUUUGCUCACGGGUGGAAUGUGCAGGCCUAUGGCACACCCCCAUUUCUACAGACUGUGCUUUUCUCCACGCGUGCACGGAGGUGGCUUAUGGGGGAGCGUGUCCGCUGCAUCUGCCACAUGGGCGGGCCCCUCUCCUGUGCCCCCGCUGAGCUCAGGAUGGCUGUGCUGCUCAGCUGCCAUUUCUUUCUCAGCAUCUACAAGCCCAGCUUCUGCUAACGUUACAGCCACACCUUAAUGCUCUCGAAACGGGGGUCAGGGGACGCUAAGCAUAAAUGUAAACGAGAGGAGAAAGCCCACGGCCCCUCCCUGGGCCCCGAACUGGUCCUGCUCGACAGUCCCUGGGAGGCGGCAUUUGGUCUUGGCGUUGCCGUGUGCCGCCAGCAGGGGUCAGUGUUGGCCCCUCCUCCAGGGGACGGGCCGUCCAUUGGCAACAGGCAAGGCGGUUCCAUGGUGGCUGGUGAGCCUCCCCUACCACUCCAGAACCUGCACCAGAACACAGCUACCUACCCCUCACUCUCCCCUUUUUUGUUGAGACCUGGGUGCAAGAGAAAGGUUCCUUUCUUUGCUAGAAGAGCAGCUCUGACUCGCAGAACCAGUGCCCUCACCCCACCCCCACCCCCCGGCCUUCACUCAAGGCCUUGCCCGACCAACGGUACUGUCUUCCCGGGUCUCACUGGCCACCUGCUACCAUGCUGUGAUUUACUAAUAAACCUGCUUCCUUCCCACUGGAACAUCAGCCCCGGGGCCAGGCUGGCUUCAUGAGCACCCACAGCGGGGGACCCGACCGGGAGGGGACCUGUAACCCAGGUGAGCUGGCCCAGGAUGGCCAGUCCAGCCAGAGGCCUCAGGACACAGCCGUCAGGUCCGCAGUCCAUCUAGCCCGGGUCUGGCUCUCGGCCAGGAGGCCCAGGACCCGAUUUGGUCAGGACGGGUGACUUGGAAACAGGCCCACGUGUCUAUGAGACGUUGUAUACGAUGCAGGGGCAUCACAGCCUGAGGAGAGAUGGACAUGGGUGUCCAUCUGUAAAUAUCUAAUGUAAAUAUCUGAUAUGCAGGAUGGUCUUGGGCGACUCCUGCUGGCCCCUGGCACGGGACCCCGUAGAGUGGUGCCGUGAGUGUCCAAGCCAGGGCUCGGGUGGAGCCUGUGAGCUCAAGCCCAUCCCUCAUGUUUUCCAGCUGUGUGACGGGCGCAGAUCACGGCGUCCCUCUCUCAGAGAGCGGUGUGUUCCCCCCACAUGGUUGAGUCCCAGUGAACUGUGGGGCUGGGUGAGAAGCUGGAGGCCAAGCAAGGGGGGCUGGCAGAACCGAAGGAGAUUACAAGCUGGCGCCUACAUGGCUACUUAGAAAAUGUUAUUUCUAACAUUUGAAAUUUCCCAUGAAAAUGCAGGUCCAGCUCCCUUAAGGAGUGGAGAGGCCUGGUCUGCAGGCGGAAUUCCUGUGUGGCUGACUGACAUGCAGCUGAGGGGCAGAUGCUCUCCAAUUCGCCCCACUCCCCACCACUCCCUAUUGCCUCUAACCCCAAGCAAACAUCACCGCUAUUAUCUACCAAGAAGCCUGACCUGCUGCUUUUCCCACAGCAACGAAGAUAACUGUUUGCAUCCGCAUCUACCGAAGGCAGGAGAUGAAGUCGUUUAGCUCCCAGAGGGCAACCUUGUUCAAGGUGGGGGGCAGCCCUCACUCACUGUCUCCUACAUGGUUUUGGCUCCUCCACAAUCAGCUGUGUGACCCUGCAAACAGCUUAAACACCUGGACAGGCAGGGGUGACCGUCCGUCAGUCUAGCCCACUCCCAGGCUGACGACUGGAGAGAAAAAUGGGCCUAACAGGGUACAAACCACAGGGUGGGAGCCAUCAGCCCCCAGCUCGGCCCCUGGAGACCUGCCCACAGUGAGUCCCAGCCCCAGGGGAAGGCCAGCCUCCUUCGUCCAGCAGGGGGCAGUGCAGCCAGGGCUGGGGAGGAGCCCGUGAGUUCAAGCCCGUCCCUGAUGUUUUCCAGCUGUGUGACAGGCGCGGAUCACGGCGUCCCUCUCUCAGGCCACGGCGAGAGCAUGCAGAGGAGAGCAGGCGCCAAGGAGCCCAGCGCCCCCACCAGCCCGCCCUGCCCGGGCGCCCACCACUCACCCUC